GACGGAGGGUGCAAGCGUUGUUCGGAUUGACUGGGCGUAAAGCGCACGUAGGCGGCUUCUUAAGUCGGAGGUGAAAUCCUGGAGCUCAACUCCAGAACUGCCUUCGAUACUGGGAAGCUCGAGUCCGGGAGAGGUGAGUGGAACUGCGAGUGUAGAGGUGAAAUUCGUAGAUAUUCGCAAGAACACCAGUGGCGAAGGCGGCUCACUGGCCCGGUACUGACGCUGAGGUGCGAAAGCGUGGGGAGCAAACAGG
RNAcentral lists this ribosomal RNA (253 nucleotides) under uncultured bacterium. Its description in RNAcentral is "partial 16S ribosomal RNA". It matches the Rfam family "Bacterial small subunit ribosomal RNA", at positions 524 to 776 of the family's 1533-position model. The record is from RNAcentral.